UGAUAAUGGCCACAGCUGAACGAGCUCUGAUACGCGUCUCCCCUCUCUUUUUCUUUUUCUAUAUAUUUUGUUCGUUUAACAGGUGAUUAGACAUACACAUCCCUACAUUUGCUUUGCUGCUUUUGCUGAGGUGCCACAACUUUAAAUGAUGAAGGUUGCCCUGCUGCUGCUGGUGGUGAUGGCUGUAGUUAUGCAAUGGCAGGUCUCGGAAGGCUGCAGGACCAGGUCAGAAGUUUGUCUCCCGCGAACAAAAAAUCCUUCUGACGCCUGCUGUGAGGGUUUGAAAUGCUCGUCCUUGUUUAUAUUUCCUCCAUUUUUCUUAUGCAAUUGACCUGAUGACACGCACUGAUCUGCACGCUAACAAGUUGUAAAAUGUUGAGUUAACACAGACUUGAUAUUUUGACUUGUACUAAGGCCAUUGCAGGAUGUCUUCUGGUCAAUAAAACAAUAAUUCGAUU
Pomacea canaliculata is the source of this 458-nucleotide long non-coding RNA. RefSeq lists it as uncharacterized. The record is from RefSeq and is a predicted model, not a curated record. The transcript is spliced from 3 exons. NCBI's taxonomy places the organism in Eukaryota, Metazoa, Mollusca, Gastropoda, Architaenioglossa, Ampullariidae.